UCGGAGUCCGAUUUAGCCAUGCUAGUUGCACGAGUUUAGACUCGUAGCAUAUAGCUCAGUAACACGUGGCCAAACUACCCUACAGACCGCGAUAACCUCGGGAAACUGAGGCCAAUAGCGGAUAUAACUCUCAUGCUGGAGUGCCGAGAGUUAGAAACGUUCCGGCGCUGUAGGAUGUGGCUGCGGCCGAUUAGGUAGAUGGUGGGGUAACGGCCCACCAUGCCGAUAAUCGGUACAGGUUGUGAGAGCAAGAGCCUGGAGACGGUAUCUGAGACAAGAUACCGGGCCCUACGGGGCGCAGCAGGCGCGAAACCUUUACACUGCACGACAGUGCGAUAGGGGGACUCCGAGUGUGAGGGCAUAUAGCCCUCGCUUUUCUGUACCGUAAGGUGGUACAGGAACAAGGACUGGGCAAGACCGGUGCCAGCCGCCGCGGUAAUACCGGCAGUCCGAGUGAUGGCCGAUAUUAUUGGGCCUAAAGCGUCCGUAGCUUGCUGUGUAAGUCCAUUGGGAAAUCGACCAGCUCAACUGGUCGGCGUCCGGUGGAAACUACACAGCUUGGGGCCGAGAGACUCAACGGGUACGUCCGGGGUAGGAGUGAAAUCCUGUAAUCCUGGACGGACCACCAAUGGGGAAACCACGUUGAGAGACCGGACCCGACAGUGAGGGACGAAAGCCAGGGUCUCGAACCGGAUUAGAUACCCGGGUAGUCCUGGCUGUAAACAAUGCUCGCUAGGUAUGUCACGCGCCAUGAGCACGUGAUGUGCCGUAGUGAAGACGAUAAGCGAGCCGCCUGGGAAGUACGUCCGCAAGGAUGAAACUUAAAGGAAUUGGCGGGGGAGCACCACAACCGGAGG
This 857-nucleotide ribosomal RNA is filed under the name Halobacteriaceae archaeon Ston2. RNAcentral's name for it is "bacterial SSU rRNA". It matches the Rfam family "Archaeal small subunit ribosomal RNA", at positions 33 to 891 of the family's 1478-position model. The record is from RNAcentral. Lineage: Archaea; Methanobacteriati; Methanobacteriota; Halobacteria; Halobacteriales; Halobacteriaceae.